RNAcentral lists this long non-coding RNA (2227 nucleotides) under Athene cunicularia (burrowing owl). RNAcentral describes it as "lncRNA (ENSACUG00000005357.1)". Lineage: Eukaryota; Metazoa; Chordata; Aves; Strigiformes; Strigidae. The record is from RNAcentral.
GAAUCGAUCAGGAGAUGCCGGCAAAAGAAGUUGCUGAAAGCCAGGCUGGUGUGGCCGGGAGCUGCGUGCUGCUGGCUCUGCUGUGCACCGGGAGCAGCUGAACUUUGCGGGUUUUGAAUAUACAUUUUCCUCUGCGGACGCUUCGGGCAGAGUUACGGGGAGAGUCACGGCACGGCACCACAGACCUUGCGCCUGCUGUUACCCAGACCAUGUCCGGGGGACGGCAAAGGGGGGAUUUCUGUCUCUCCGAGGACCAUCACCAGUGAAAAGAAGCUGGAGAAAGGCAAUUUAUCUUUCUUUCCAGAUGACUGAAAAUACCUACAGGAUCCUGUUUCUUCAGCUUUCAUCAACGAGUAGCAUCGGAGAGAGGCAGCUGAGGAACAAAAAUGUUAUCGGUCAAAAUCAUUUCAGCAUCUACUUUUUCCCAAGGAACUUCAUGCCCGUAGGGGUUUGCUGUGGGCAUUUACAGAAGUGAGGACUGACAUACCACAGAUGCAUCCCUACCGGAUCAUGUAAGAAUUUGCAAAUGAGAAACCUACCCCAGCGAGACCUUCUCUGCCCAGUUUGCCGUGCAUGGUUUGGUGUAGGUACGGCAAUUCUCACCUCUUUCUCCCCCUUUUAAAUCUCUUGGGCUUGGAGAUCUCUUUCCUCAUUGCAAUUAUGAUUAUUUGCAACAUCAGUGCCAUCAAAGAUUGGAGCACUUUCCUCUCCCAGAUCCUUCCCAGCGUUAACAAGACUCUGAACUUGGUACAGCAAGUGGAAGCCACCACCAGCUCAGUGGUAAGUGUCCUCCAGGACCCCGAGCAGGACAACUACCUGUCCAACAGCCAGUCCAUGAACUCCAGCAACUUCACAGCUGGCCUAGACCACUUGUUCCAGUACUCAUACUCAGACAAUGACCAGCUUUACAAGGAAUACAAACCGCCUCCUCGAGACGCCAUUCCUCUACCCAAGGCCGUCCUCUACCUUCUCAUGGCAGCCCUGGUGGUGGUGGCAGUGGCAUAUGCCAUAGUGGGGCAUCUCAUCAAGGACCUCAUUCACGACUUUAUAGACUGGAUCUUCGGUCCCAGCCCAGAUGACAACAGCAACAAGAGCGACGUCAACUGCAUCAGCAACAGCGUCAAUGAGAUGAGUGAGAUGCCUGAGGCACCGCGGCACCGGGACCGCCAACCCCAGGACGUGGUCAUUGCCAUCGGCGAGACCUGCCACUUGCCGCAGCAGACGUGACCGGUGCAGUGGCCGAGUCAGGCAGGAUGGAACAGAGGGAUGGAGCGGAGUGUUGGAGCAGCGGGAUGGUGCAGCAGGACAGCGCAGCAGCCACAUUGCAGGACUGGAUGGCGAGAGGAAGGGAUGGGCAGAGCCAGCACCAUGGAGCAAAGCCAUUCUCACCCCGGUUUUGCCAACCUCUAAGGACCUUGCCAGGGCAGGCAGCAUCACCCCUUCUCCCAGGCUUGUCAGUCCUGCUCUGACAUCUGUCCGUGGGUUCAUGCCCUUUUUUCCCUGUGAAUAGCAAAAAAAAAAUUGCAAAUUCAAAAUACACCCACCAAACAAAGCUCGCAAGAGAAAUGAGCCAGAGAGGAUCUGGGCAGUCAUUUGGUGUGUGGCUGUCCCGCAGCAUGGGGAUGGGGUGGUGAAAAGGGCAAAGGAGACAAGGAGUCUGCAUGAGAAACAGGGGUGUCUACAUUUCUGGGGACAGACCCAGGACGUGGCAGGGAGCUGGGGCUACAGCAUGAGCCAUGGGCUGCAGAAAGGCACUUGAAAGGACAGUAGGAGCCAAAUUCAGCCCGCUACAUUGAUGACCUGCCCAGGCCAUCACUCCUCCCUUUAGUUUUGCUGCUCCAGCUCACAGCCCAUUUCAGCAGGUAUGUCCUGUGGCUCUGGGACAGCAGGGUGACAGCCUCACCUCCCCAGGGAGCCUUCGUCCCCAUGCCCAUGGCCAGGCCAGGGCACCACCUUCCCUCUGCCACCAGCUCUGGUUGAGCCCAGCAUCCCCUGACUGGGAGCAGCCCUGCUGGGACAUGGCAUGCCCCUGUUCUCUGAGGAAAGUUGCUGGAGGGGAGGGCAAGGACCCACCUGCAGGAAACUUUAGCUCUUCAUGGGGGAAAAUAGCCCCUGUAUAGCUGCAUCUCUCAGAUUUGUCCCCAUAUAGCCAUUCCCCUCCUCACCCCUACGUUAGCUGCCACCAUGAGGGGUGCUGGCCCUGCACUGGGGUCAGCCACAUGUGCAU